RNAcentral lists this ribosomal RNA (497 nucleotides) under uncultured bacterium. Its description in RNAcentral is "partial 16S ribosomal RNA". It matches the Rfam family "Bacterial small subunit ribosomal RNA", at positions 28 to 507 of the family's 1533-position model. The record is from RNAcentral.
GAUGAACGCUGGCGGCGUGCCUAAUACAUGCAAGUCGAGCGAACAGACGAGGAGCUUGCUCCUCUGACGUUAGCGGCGGACGGGUGAGUAACACGUGGAUAACCUACCUAUAAGACUGGGAUAACUUCGGGAAACCGGAGCUAAUACCGGAUAAUAUAUUGAACCGCAUGGUUCAAUAGUGAAAGACGGUUUUGCUGUCACUUAUAGAUGGAUCCGCGCCGCAUUAGCUAGUUGGUAAGGUAACGGCUUACCAAGGCAACGAUGCGUAGCCGACCUGAGAGGGGGAUCGGCCACACGGGAACUGAGACACGGACCAGACUCCUACGGGAGGCAGCAGUAGGGAAUCGUCCGCAAUGGGCGAAAGCCUGACGGAGCAACGCCGCGCGAGUGAUGAAGGUCUUCGGAUCGUAAAACUCUGUUAUUAGGGAAGAACAAAUGUGUAAGUAACUAUGCACGUCUUGACGGUACCUAAUCAGAAAGCCACGGCUAACUACGUG